Molecule: transfer RNA, 67 nt
Filed under: Cerconychia flectospina
Lineage: Eukaryota; Metazoa; Arthropoda; Insecta; Plecoptera; Styloperlidae
Description: tRNA-Tyr
Rfam family: tRNA
About the family: Transfer RNA (tRNA) molecules are approximately 80 nucleotides in length.
Source: RNAcentral
GAUAAAAUGGCUGAGGUUAUAGGCAAUAGAUUGUAAAUCUAUGAACAAGGUUUGUCCUUUUUUAUCA